AUGAGAAAUCAUGUUUGUCUUUGGUGCUUACACUGUGCCAUAGCUUGUGAAAAUACUCAAACAUUUGCUUUGACUUCUGUUGGUAGAUGUGGAUAUUGCCAGAGUGUGGCAGAUGCUUCAUCAAUGCAGAGUUUUUAUACUGAUGUAAUGCCUGACAUUUCUUGGUAUUGUCCCCUGCUCAACUGAAUGCACUAAAAAAGCCAGUGUUUCGUCUUCCAGAAGGUGCCAUUUUGCAUUCCAGUCACCUUGUAAGUGUUCUUGUGUACCAAGAUGUGUGGUGUAACUUUCUCUUUCUUCCAGUUUUGCUCUUCCCUUUUCAUACAAUUUAAAGUCAAUGCAAAAUCCUCAUAGAUAUAGCACGGCCGCAGCUGAGGAUUUAGGAGAUAUAAAUCUGUCUUUCAUUGCUGUCUCUCUCAGGAAAUGUGCAUACCAGAGUGAAGAAAAGGCUGAAGGAAAAAAGGUGUGAGAACAAAAGCCUCUGGUGCCUUUUCGGUGUAAACAAUGAGACAAGGACAGUUCUUCAGAGCCAUUCACCCCAGGAAGAGAUGAAAAAACGUUGCUUUUCCACAUCAUCCUUAAGUAUUUGUCUACCAUACUCAUCCUUAUUUGAAUUUUUAAAAAACAGUCAAUUUUUAAAGAAAUGCAACAGUGUAGGAGCUUUAAUUUACUAUUUACUUUAAUUUACUAGGUUGUUGUCUUUUGAACAAUGAAAUCAAGAUGCAAUUAUGAAAUCAUGUUCAGAAAAACUGUUACAGUACAUUGCAUUAACAUUCUAAGUAAUGUAAAGGGCAACUCAAACAUGUUACAAUGUUUUUAAAGAAGAUCAUUUCAGUUCUACCAAUAAAUUAAGCUGCUAAGUAUUUUUUUUUUCUUCAGCUUUUCAUGAUGCAGUGCCCUCUGAAUGUUUGGAAACAAUGUUGGCAAGUGUACUUUUGGACAAUAUCAGCAUAAAUGUCGCUUCCUCCUGCUUUUACACUGAUGAGGGACAACACAAACUACAGAACAUAAUUUUCGAACAUAAAAAGCCAUGAACCCAAGAAAACAUCUUAAACUAUCCUAAGCUGGUUUGCUGGUCAACUGGUUGGUUUUAGAGAGGUUUGGGUCGCUUUUCAGGCUGGGAGACCAGCUAACAGCGAACCAUCCAGUCAAAAUUCCAAGUUAUUUUAAUGUAUUUAUACCAAGAAAUUAGUAUAAAGUUUUAAUGCCGAUAUUGUCUUAAACUUAGCGGCAUUUCCAAAUUUUUGAAGAGCAGUGCAUGUCCGUUCCAUCACCUCAAGUGGUUCCGUCACCUCAAGGGGAUUAACACUGCUUGAAGUGCCUGAGGGGCCACUCUCAUCAUUAGAGCACUAUGGGAACUCUAAUGGGU
This is a long non-coding RNA of Cyprinus carpio carpio, 1366 nucleotides long. The record is from Ensembl. NCBI's taxonomy places the organism in Eukaryota, Metazoa, Chordata, Actinopteri, Cypriniformes, Cyprinidae.